RNAcentral lists this transfer RNA (70 nucleotides) under Cavia porcellus (domestic guinea pig). It matches the Rfam family "tRNA". From Rfam's summary of the family: Transfer RNA (tRNA) molecules are approximately 80 nucleotides in length. Lineage: Eukaryota; Metazoa; Chordata; Mammalia; Rodentia; Caviidae. The record is from Rfam by way of RNAcentral.
GGGGAUGUGGCUCAGUGGUGGAGCACUUGCCUAGCAUGCAUGAGGCCCUGGGUUCAACCCUUAAACUCCU